Molecule: ribosomal RNA, 1527 nt
Filed under: Triticum aestivum (bread wheat)
Lineage: Eukaryota; Viridiplantae; Streptophyta; Magnoliopsida; Poales; Poaceae
Description: partial small subunit ribosomal RNA
Source: RNAcentral
AUGAUGAUUGCCCGCGGCUGCCUCCUCAGAUCCAAGGCUGAGAGCUUAGUGAAACAUGUAGCCAGCGGUGGAAGCUGGCAUGGGUUGCAUAGUUUUUCAGAGGCAUCAGCCAGGGGUUUCAGCUCUGAGCCGUCUCUUCAGGCCGACUCGACGGAAGAAAUCGGGUUCAAGGGGCAUGGCAUGCUGGCUCCAUUCACAGCUGGAUGGCAGAGCACCGAUGUGCAUCCCCUGGUUAUUGAUAGAUCUGAGGGUGCAUAUGUCUAUGAUAUCAAUGGGAAAAAGUAUAUAGAUGCUCUUGCAGGACUCUGGUGUACAGCUCUAGGUGGCAGCGAACCUCGACUAGUCAAAGCUGCAACAGAGCAAUUAAACAAAUUACCCUUCUAUCAUUCCUUCUGGAACCGUACUACCAAACCCUCAUUGGAUCUUGCAAAUGACGUUCUCAACAUGUUUACUGCAAGGGAAAUGGGAAAGGUAUUCUUCGCAAAUAGUGGUUCAGAAGCAAAUGACUCUCAGGUGAAACUAGUGUGGUAUUAUAACAAUGCAAUGGGGAGACCAGAUAAGAAGAAAUUUAUUGCACGCUCAAAAUCAUAUCAUGGUUCAACAUUAAUAUCAGCUAGUUUAUCCGGUCUUCCUGCUCUUCAUCAAAAGUUUGAUCUACCGGCACCUUUUGUUCUGCACACGGACUGUCCACACUACUGGCGCUUCCAUCUUCCUGAUGAAACAGAAGAAGAAUUUUCUACUAGACUUGCAAACAACUUGGAGAAUCUUAUCCUAAAAGAAGGACCAGAAACAAUUGCUGCUUUCAUUGCUGAACCUGUGAUGGGUGCCGGUGGUGUCAUCCUUCCUCCAAAGACUUAUUUUGAGAAGAUUCAAGCAGUCCUCAAGAAGUACGACGUCUUGUUAAUAGCAGAUGAGGUCAUUACUGCAUUUGGGAGAUUGGGAACCAUGUUUGGAUGUGAUAUGUAUAAUAUUCAACCAGAUCUCGUCUCCAUAGCAAAGGCUCUUUCUUCGGCCUACAUGCCAAUUGCAGCUAUUCUUGUUAGCCCAGAAAUAGCAGAUGUAGUUCAUUCGCAGAGCAGUAAACUUGGUUCUUUUGCUCAUGGCUUUACAUACUCCGGGCAUCCAGUUGCCUGUGCUGUUGCCAUAGAAGCUCUGAAGAUCUACAAGGAAAGGAAUAUUACCGAACAUGUCAACACAAUUGCCCCAAGGUUCCAAGAAGGAAUCAAGGCCUUCUCAGGCAGUCCGAUCGUCGGAGAGAUACGUGGCCUGGGAUUGAUACUUGGAACUGAAUUUGUCGACAACAAGUCACCAAAUGAUCCAUUCCCUGCAGAAUGGGGGGUUGGUUCAAUAUUUGGUGCCGAGUGUGAGAAGCGUGGGAUGCUUAUCAGGGUUGCUGGGGAUAACAUCAUGCUAUCACCUCCACUAAUAAUGACUCCCGAUGAAGUUGAAGAAAUUGUGAGCAAAUAUGGUGGCGCCCUAAAGGCCACAGAGGAAAGAAUUGAGGAGCUCAAAUCAGCCAAGAAGUGA